RNAcentral lists this unclassified non-coding RNA (1016 nucleotides) under Hevea brasiliensis (rubber tree). The record is from RNAcentral. Lineage: Eukaryota; Viridiplantae; Streptophyta; Magnoliopsida; Malpighiales; Euphorbiaceae.
AUUACAUGGAAUCGGUCAUUUAAAGGAAUUCCUAGUGUUGAUGACGAUAAGGAUGAUUUUGACAGAGAGGAGCAUGAAACUCAUGCUACUGUGUUGGAUAAGAUGCUGGCUUGGGAAAAGAAGCUUUACGAUGAAGUCAAGGCAGGUGAAAUUAUGAAAUUUGAGUAUCAAAGGAAGGUUGCUUUGCUGAAUAAGCGGAAGAAACAGGGUGGUAACUAUGAGUCAUUGGAGAAAUUAAAAGCAGAUGUAAGCCAUCUGCAUACAAGAUACAUUGUAGACAUGCAAUCACUGGACUCCACGGUUGCUGAGAUAAAUCGUUUACGUGAUGAACAAUUAUAUCCAAAACUUGUUCAGCUUGUUGAUGGGAUGGCCGCAAUGUGGAGUACCAUGAAAUUGCACCAUGAGGCCCAGUUGAAGCUUUUAAAUGCUCUUAAAUAUGUGGACAUUUCUCAGUCCCCCAAGGAAACUAGUGAAUAUCAUUAUGAUCGUACUUGUCAGCUAUGUGCAAUUAUAAGAGAUUGGCAUACACAUUUUUGUCGACUUACAGACUUUCAGAAAGAUUACAUAAAGGCACUCAACAAUUGGUUAAAGCUAAAUCUCAUCCCUAUUGAGAGCAAUUUGAAAGAAAAGGUUUCUUCUCCGCCAAGGGUUCAUAAUCCUCCAAUUCAUGCGCUUCUCAUAGCUUGGCGCGAUGAUUUGGAAAAACUUCCUGACGAGGUUGCUAGAAGUGCAAUAGGUAAUUUUGCUGCUGUAUUACAGACCAUCGUGAAUUAUCAAGAAGAGGAGAUGAAGACAAGAGAAAAAUGUGAGGCCAUGCGAAAGGAGCUUGCCCGCAAGACCAAGCAAUUUGAUGACUGGAAACAAAAGCAUAAUAUAGGUUUUGCAAAUAAGGGAUCUGAUCAUGACAUGGCAGAAGACAACCCCCACAGGGAUGCCAUGGUAGAUAGACAGAUUGUCUUGGAUUCUUUGAGCAAGCAGUUGGAAAACGAGGAAGCUUGCCAAAAGCUUAGCCUACA